UGGGGAAUCAUGGUCAAUGGGCGAAAGCCUGAACCUGCGACGCCGCGUGAGUGAUGAAGGUCGUAAGAUCGUAAAACUCUUUUCAGGGAUCUUAAAGCACAACCGUCAACAACGGCUGUGUGUGACUCUCCCUGGAAGAAGCCCCAGCCAACUACGGGCCAGCAGCGGCGGUAAUACGUAGGGGGCGAGCGUUAUUCGGAAUUACUGGGGGUAAAGGGUAUGUAGGCGGCCCUUCAAGUCGCGUGUCAAAGUC
This 253-nucleotide ribosomal RNA is filed under the name uncultured prokaryote. RNAcentral describes it as "partial 16S ribosomal RNA". It matches the Rfam family "Bacterial small subunit ribosomal RNA", at positions 355 to 602 of the family's 1533-position model. The record is from RNAcentral.